RNAcentral lists this ribosomal RNA (1469 nucleotides) under uncultured Bordetella sp. RNAcentral describes it as "partial 16S-23S ribosomal RNA intergenic spacer". It matches the Rfam family "Bacterial small subunit ribosomal RNA". The record is from RNAcentral. Lineage: Bacteria; Pseudomonadati; Pseudomonadota; Betaproteobacteria; Burkholderiales; Alcaligenaceae.
GGUUCGACAUGGCUCAGAUUGAACGCUGGCGGGAUGUUUACACACAUGCAAGUCGAACGGCAGCACGGACUUCGGUCUGGUGGCGAGUGGCGAACGGGUGAGUAAUGUAUCGAACGUGCCUAGUAGCGGGGAUAACUACGCGAAAGCGUAGCUAAUACCGCAUACGCCCUUCGGGGGAAAGCGGGGACCUUUCGGGCCUCGCACUAUUAGAGCGGCCGAUAUCGGAUUAGCUAGUUGGUGGGGUAACGGCUCACCAAGGCGACGAUCCGUAGCUGGUUUGAGAGGACGACCAGCCACACUGGGACUGAGACACGGCCCAGAUCACGGGAGGCAGCAGUGGGGAAUUUGACAAUGGGGGAAACCCUGAUCCAGCCAUCCCGCGUGUGCGAUGAAGGCCUCUCGGGUUGUAAAGCACUUUUGGCAGGGAAGAAACGGCACGGGAUAAUACCCCGUGCAACUGACGGUACCUGCAGAAUAAGCACCGGCUAACGCACGUGCCAGCAGCCGCGGUAAUACGUAGGUGCAAGCGUUAAUCGGAAUUACUGGGCGUAAAGCGUGCAGGCGGUUCGGAAAGAAAGAUGUGAAAUCCCAGAGCUUAACUUUGGAACUGCAUUUUUAACUACCGAGCUAGAGUGUGUCAGAGGGAGGUGGAAUUCCGCGUGUAGCAGUGAAAUGCGUAGAUAUGCGGAGGAACACCGAUGGCGAAGGCAGCCUCGAUAACACUGACGCUCAUGCACGAAAGCGUGGGGAGCAAACAGGAUUAGAUACCCUGGUAGUCCACGCCCUAAACGAUGUCAAUCAGCUGUUGGGGCCUUCGGGCCUUGGUAGCGCAGCUAACGCGUGAAGUUGACCGCCUGGGGAGUACGGUCGCAAGAUUAAAACUCAAAGGAAUUGACGGGGACCCGCACAAGCGGUGGAUGAUGUGGAUUAAUUCGAUGCAACGCGAAAACCUUACCUACCCUUGACAUGUCUGGAAUCCCGAAGAGAUUUGGGAGUGCCCGGCAAGAGAACCGGAACACAGGUGCUGCAUGGCUGUCGUCAGCUCGUGUCGAGAUGUUGGGUUAAGUCCCGCAACGAGCGCAACCCUUGUCAUUAGUUGCUACGAAGGGGCACUUAAUGAGACUGCCGGUGACAAACCGGAGGAAGGUGGGAUGACGUCAAGUCCUCAUGGCCCUUAUGGGUAGGGCUUCACACGUCAUACAAUGGUCGGGACAGAGGGUCGCCAACCCGCGAGGGGAGCCAAUCCCAGAAACCCGAUCGUAGUCCGAUCGCAGUCUGCAACUCGACUGCGUGAAGUCGGAAUCGCUAGUAAUCGCGGAUCAGCAUGUCGCGGUGAAUACGUUCCCGGGUCUUGUACACACCGCCCGUCACACCAUGGGAGUGGGUUUUACCAGAAGUAGUUAGCCUAACCGUAAGGAGGGCGAUUACCACGGUAGGAUUCAUGACUGGGGUGGGUCGUAACAAGGUAG